Molecule: transfer RNA, 52 nt
Filed under: Spinibdella lignicola
Lineage: Eukaryota; Metazoa; Arthropoda; Arachnida; Trombidiformes; Bdellidae
Description: tRNA-Thr
Source: RNAcentral
AUAUAUCAUAAGUUUAUAAUUUAUUGAUUUUGUAAAUCAAUGCUGUAAUAAA